Molecule: non-coding RNA, 82 nt
Organism: Desulfosporosinus sp. OT
Lineage: Bacteria; Bacillati; Bacillota; Clostridia; Eubacteriales; Desulfitobacteriaceae
Source: Rfam
AACGACAAAGGCAAACUUGGUGUAAACCAAGGACGCAAAGCCACGGGUCUUCCUUAAGCUGAAGAUAGCCGGGUUACCGUAA